UACAGAGGGUGCGAGCGUUAAUCGGAAUUAUUGGGCGUAAAGCGUGCGUAGACGGCUAUCUAAGUCGGGUGUGAAAGCCCCGGGCUCAACCUGGGAAUUGCAUUCGAGACUGAAUAGCUAGGGUGCGGUAGAGGGAAGCGGAAUUUCCGGUGUAGCGGUGAAAUGCGUAGAUAUCGGAAGGAACAUCAGUGGCGAAAGCGGCUUCCUGGACCAGCACCGACGUUCAGGCACGAAAGCGUGGGGAGCAAACAGG
This 253-nucleotide ribosomal RNA is filed under the name uncultured bacterium. RNAcentral describes it as "partial 16S ribosomal RNA". It matches the Rfam family "Bacterial small subunit ribosomal RNA", at positions 524 to 776 of the family's 1533-position model. The record is from RNAcentral.